GCUGAGUUGGCCUGAAGCAGCAUAGUGAGGGGAGACAAGGUGGGUUGAAGUCUCUGAAAAAGAGCCUCACACAUCUCAUGUUUCUGGGCUUUUUUUGCUGAUUGUUGCUUGUUCCCUGUUCUUGGGUCCUGUGCUGGAGGGACCUUGGGUGCUUCCCCUGCCACAGGGGCCAUGGAGAGCCUUGCAUGUCAGUGGGACUGUGCCCCACGUGCGGUGCAGGGGUUUGCCUUGGUGAGCAUUGUGGAUAACAGAAAGGACUCUCCUUACUGCCCUAGGAGCCAAAGUGUCUGUGGGAUAUUUAAAGUCUUCAGUAAAGAUCUUCAGUGAGUUACCUACCAUGGGAGUCAGGAUAUCAGCAGCCUCCAAAGUCUGUAAAGGCUGGCAUGGGACAGAGCACCGUCGAGGAAGCGGUGUCAGGAACACUCACCUCUUGACACCACUGCUAAUAGGUGGUUAUUACAGCCCAUUGUGCUGAGAGCGGAGGUCUGGCUCUGACAGCUGCUCCAGUGAUAAACUGUUUUACCUCGCCUAAAAAUCAUAAGCAUCACGAAACUUUAAAAUACUCCUCUGACUUUCCUAUUUUAAAUUAAAUAUCGUUAUAAGUUUAGUAAGUUAUAAAAAGGAUAUGAUUACAUAAAACCAGCAUCACCUUGGUAAGAGAUUUAUUAUUAAAUGUGUGUCUAUAAAGUGCAACUACAGGAUGAUGUAAAAUAAGUGUGAAUGUAGAUGAACUGACUGGCUUUGAAUAUUUUUGUACACUGAGCAAAUUGUUAAUUUACAUUAGUGGGGAAUCUGGUUCAUUUAAAAAAUUCUAAUUUUAUAAUUGAUCACAGAUUGCUUGCAUUUAAUUUGUGUUGGUUUACACCUUUAUAUAGAAUAUAUUCCUUUAUUUUCUUGUUU
Long non-coding RNA from Chiroxiphia lanceolata (lance-tailed manakin), 900 nucleotides. RefSeq lists it as uncharacterized. NCBI's taxonomy places the organism in Eukaryota, Metazoa, Chordata, Aves, Passeriformes, Pipridae. The record is from RefSeq and is a predicted model, not a curated record. The transcript has 2 exons.